CCCAAAGAAACUGCUGUUCUUACAUACAGGUUUAGUUUGGCCCUCUAUUUAAUCAUUAACUCUUUCUGUUCUAAUCAAAAGGUUCAUUCAAAUUGUGAUGUUACAAAGGAAAGCUUUACUCAGCUUCAGAAAUGCUGAAUGUGGAUGAACAUGUGCGUUGCAACUCAAGGAAGACACUGAGCAUUGAACGGCCACAUCACGUGAGGUGCAAGAUAAGCACAGGUGCUUAUGCUGAAACCACAUCCUCUCCUCACCGAUGAGAUCCCUGCUCUGCUGAGGACACUUUUGGUCUCUCUGAGGGAUUUGGGAGAGGUCCUCCAGCUUCUGAAUCCUCAUGGACCUCCUCGGUGCUCUGACCUCCCUGCCUGCAGCUGGGGCAGACUUCAUGAGAAUGAAAAGAAAGAAGCUAUAACUAAAAUGUAAAUGCUGCAGAAGAUGCCUCUUCUAUUCCAUCAGCAAUGUCUGCAACUCUGCCUUUGAGUCUCAGAUUUAAUUACUGACGAUGGUCCUUCAAGUGUUAUGGUCCCACUGCAGCAAAGCCACAGUUUUGCUGGGAAAGUGACUCCAGAAAGAGAAAGAACUAAAUAAAAAGUAUCAUGUGAUUCCAUAAAGCUGCAGGCAGAUUAUAUCCUCAAUUACACUUGCACAACUCUAUUAAAUACCAGUGGGGUUGCACAGGUGUAACUGGAAGCACGACUGCCCUCACAAUCUGAAACACCACAGGGCAGAAGCAAGAAGAUGCCACCAAACUCCACAGCCCCAGCCGAGCUGGCAAGGACACCUACAGCACCCCAAAAAUGUGCCACAUGUCUGGGUUUCAGCCUUCAACAUCUCAGCUCUGACCUGGGGAUGUGACUAGUGACUAUCUCUGGACAUACUUAUACAAAAAGAGGGAACACUGACGAAAAAAAGGAAAAGAUUUGAGCUUAUUCUUGAAUGGUUUACGGGAAAAAUUACGAAUUUCCAUACCUAUUUUUGUUUGCACAUCAGUGGUCUUUUUUUCCUCUACACUCAUAGCCUAACCAACAAGGAAUAUGUAAAACAAAUGUUAGCUUAUAAAAUUAGAGACACUUUGCUAAGAUGUCACUGCUGAGAUGUAUGAUAUUCAAAACAAUAGAGAAUAAGAUUUAAAUAACUGAAAGCUAUUUUAGAAUAAAUGUGAUUUGUUUCAGCGGUGUACACAAGAAGAAAAUAAAAUUAAGGAAAACUGCUCAAAUGGAAAGCGUAUGUUCUGAAUAUCAAUAGACUACAACAUGUAGGCUUGCAUUUUGUAGCUGCCAUUGCUCUAUUUGCCUUCACAGCUGGUAAGAAUUUCCUUGUUCGGGGAAACUCUAACAUUUCAAGAUUUGUUUUCAUGCUGAAUCAGAAUUAAAUUUUCAAAUUUUUCUCAGAGAAAAUUCUGAAAAAUUACUGUUCUUAAAUAUUAAAUGUAGGUACUGUCAAAAUACUGUCCUACAUAUAUCAUAUCAGUCUCCACAGCAUCAAGCAGGAACAUAUUGUAAUAUUUAAUUUGGUAUUCUAAUAUGAUUACAAAGUCAACAUGAAAGGAACAGGAAAAUUAAACACUUCAAUUCACAAAGCAGAAUAUUUGGAUGAUAAACAUAGAUGCUGGAGUGAGACUUUCAGCGCUGUGGAAAUGUUUGCAUUUUGAAAAAAAAAAAUUGCUGGCAGCAAACUCUCUCACCCACUAUUAUUUUACUAGUUAAGUUUUGACACCUCUCAUACCUUCUUCUCUCAGACUAUAUCCUGAUAGAGCAGUUUGUCUUUCCUUCUCACUUCCUCACUUCCUUCCUUCCUUCCUUUCCAGCAGUGUGAUGAAAGAGAAGCUUUAUUACUGCAUUUACUUUUUUUCUAAAGUGCCUAGUUAUAGAGAGACCUUCACAUCUCUGGGCUGAUGUGUAAAUUGAACUCUCAUUAAAUCCAGGUGAGGCAAGGAAACAGAUAAAAUUACUGAUAGCGAGACAUACACAUUUAAAGGGAUAGCUGGAUUUAGAAUCAACACAGCCCUGGAUUGUGCUCUGUCCUUUAGGCUCUCUUGUCUCUUGAAGAACAACUCUGUGCAUUUGCUGGGAUGACAGCCCCAUUAGGAUGGCUCCCACUCCUAGUCACACUUGUGAAUGCCUACCUCACU
Long non-coding RNA from Numida meleagris (helmeted guineafowl), 2131 nucleotides. RefSeq lists it as uncharacterized. NCBI's taxonomy places the organism in Eukaryota, Metazoa, Chordata, Aves, Galliformes, Numididae. The transcript has 3 exons. The record is from RefSeq and is a predicted model, not a curated record.